UUCGGAUCGCGGCCUGUGGGCGGUUCGCCGCCGGCGAGUCGCGAGAAGUCCACUGAACCUUAUCAUUUAGAGGAAGGAGAAGUCGUAACAAGGUUUCCGUAGGUGAACCUGCGGAAGGAUCAUUG
This 125-nucleotide ribosomal RNA is filed under the name Buxus balearica. RNAcentral's name for it is "partial 18S ribosomal RNA". It matches the Rfam family "Eukaryotic small subunit ribosomal RNA", at positions 1709 to 1831 of the family's 1831-position model. Lineage: Eukaryota; Viridiplantae; Streptophyta; Magnoliopsida; Buxales; Buxaceae. The record is from RNAcentral.